GACGAACGCUGGCGGCGUGCCUAAUACACGCAAGUAGGACGCAGUUGCGAACGGGUGAGUAACGCGUCGGUAACUGCCUAUUAGAGGGGGCUAACUAUUGGCAACGAUAGCUAAUCCCGCAUACUAGUAGAUGGACCUGCGUUGUAUUAGCUAGUAGGUAGGGUAAUGGCCUACCUAGGCAACGAUACAUAGCCGGCCUUAGAGGGUGAUCGACGACACUGGAACUGGGAAACGGCCCAAACUCCUACGGGAGGCAGCAGUGAGGAAUCUUCGGAAAUGGGGGGAACGCUGACCGAGCAACGCCGCGUGAGUGAAGAAGGUUUUCGGGUCGUAAAGCUCUGUUGUUAAGGAAGCGGUACUUAACCAGAAAGGGACGGCUAACUACGUGCCAGCAGCCGCGGUAAUAC
This 407-nucleotide ribosomal RNA is filed under the name uncultured bacterium. RNAcentral's name for it is "partial 16S ribosomal RNA". It matches the Rfam family "Bacterial small subunit ribosomal RNA", at positions 28 to 526 of the family's 1533-position model. The record is from RNAcentral.